This 468-nucleotide ribosomal RNA is filed under the name uncultured bacterium. RNAcentral's name for it is "partial 16S ribosomal RNA". It matches the Rfam family "Bacterial small subunit ribosomal RNA", at positions 28 to 523 of the family's 1533-position model. The record is from RNAcentral.
GAUGAACGCUGGCGGCGUGCCUAACACAUGCAAGUCGAGCGAUUCUCCUCGGAGAAGAGCGGCGGACGGGUGAGUAACGCGUGGGUAACCUGCCCUGUACACACGGAUAACAUACCGAAAGGUAUGCUAAUACGGGAUAAUAUGCUUUAGUCGCAUGGCUGAAGUAUCAAAGCUCCGGCGGUACAGGAUGGACCCGCGUCUGAUUAGCUAGUUGGUAAGGUAACGGCUUACCAAGGCGACGAUUAGUAGCCGACCUGAGAGGGUGAUCGGCCACAUUGGAACUGAGACACGGUCCAAACUCCUACGGGAGGCAGCAGUGGGGAAUAUUGCACAAUGGGCGAAAGCCUGAUGCAGCAACGCCGCGUGAGCGAUGAAGGCCUUCGGGUCGUAAAGCUCUGUCCUCAAGGAAGAUAAUGACGGUACUUGAGGAGGAAGCCCCGGCUAACUACGUGCCAGCCGCCGCAGUAA